Molecule: long non-coding RNA, 327 nt
Filed under: Androctonus crassicauda
Lineage: Eukaryota; Metazoa; Arthropoda; Arachnida; Scorpiones; Buthidae
Source: RNAcentral
CCUCUUUACAAAUUACGUAUCGAACAUAAAACAUUGAUAAGAGGUCAUUCUUAUAUUUUCACAUUGGAUCAGUGAUGAUGAUUUAGAAGACAUGAACUAAGAGAGUUUGUCAGAAGAUGGAUUUCCGAUCCAUAACACACACACUAAUUGAUGAGACAGAGAACAUGAAAAGUGAGUUAAUUCUUAAACUAAACAUAUGUUAUACAAUAAUGAAAGUAAUAAAUAAUGAAGAGCAUAAUAAAAUGUAUUAUAGCUCAGAGUCAACUUCACAAAGUUAUCUAAAGGAAAAAGUUUUUGUAAAAGAUGCAAAAUGUGGAAUUUUAUGAC